Molecule: non-coding RNA, 73 nt
Organism: Trichonephila clavipes
Lineage: Eukaryota; Metazoa; Arthropoda; Arachnida; Araneae; Nephilidae
Source: the annotation of a GenBank genome assembly
AUCCCUGUAGCGCAAUGGAUAGUGCGUUGGAAUUCUAAUCCAACGGUCGUGGGUUCGAUUCCUACCAGGGAUG